GAUUUAUUAAUUAUUAGUGAUAUGUUGAUUAAGCAAUAAGCAUUACAGUCCCCAUCAGUUGUGUCUCAGGCCUGCAAUGUAAAGGAGGAGAGUCAGACUCUGGGGCAACAACCUAGCAGCUGUAGGAGUGACAAGAAAAGAUUUCAUGCAAUUUUUCCAAAAAGGGGGAACUCCAAUGGAUUCCAGGACAACGGCUAUGGACAUGCAGAAGCCCAAGCAUGGCAAGGGUGAAGACCUCUAGUGACACUGACUUGCAAAAUACAAUGACGACACAGGUUAGCAAGAUCGUAUGACAUGUCACACUGACACCAUGCAGGUAUGCACCUCCCAAAAUCGGAGGUUUUGCUAGAGGAGUGUUUCUGUGCGCAUCCUCCAUCUGAGCAAAGGCCGCUAGCAGCAUCUAAGCACUGAGUGCCCUGAACUGAAGUAGCCUUGAACGGUGAUGUUAAGAGAGUACAGUUCAGUCCUUGUCUCAGAACAGGUGCGAAUGCACCUAACCCUUAACAACUCUUGGUGCACUGUGGAAAUGCUGUUCUCUAGGCUGGGGAGCGGUGGAGCGCUAAGGGAGCAUAGGAUUUUGAGCCCCAAACCCCACAGAUUACACUGAAGGGGACCACUGUAAAACAGUUUUGGUUUUAGUGCAGGUCAUUUCCCAAGUGCCUGUAAGCUUAAAUCUUUCAAAGCUGCAUUUAUCUUUUCCUACUGGGUUUAGAGUGCCUCUUUUAUGUUUGUGUGGCUGACAGGAAGGUGAAUGGGCUGAACAGCCACAGAAAGAUCUGAACUCCUACUUAUCGCAGGCUAAUUUAGUUUUUAAA
Pezoporus occidentalis (night parrot) is the source of this 815-nucleotide long non-coding RNA. RefSeq lists it as uncharacterized. NCBI's taxonomy places the organism in Eukaryota, Metazoa, Chordata, Aves, Psittaciformes, Psittacidae. The transcript is spliced from 3 exons. The record is from RefSeq and is a predicted model, not a curated record.